RNAcentral lists this ribosomal RNA (506 nucleotides) under uncultured bacterium. RNAcentral's name for it is "partial 16S ribosomal RNA". It matches the Rfam family "Bacterial small subunit ribosomal RNA", at positions 28 to 523 of the family's 1533-position model. The record is from RNAcentral.
GAUGAACGCUAGCUACAGGCUUAACACAUGCAAGACGAGGGGUAACAAGAGAACAGCUUGCUUUUCUUGUUGACGACCGGCGCACGGGUGAGUAACGCGUAUCCAACCUGCCUAUAACUAGGGAAUAACCGUGCUAAAGUAAGACUAAUAGCCUAUGAUUUCCUUUGAUGGCAUCAGAUUAGGAAUAAAGAUUUAUAGGUUAUAGAUGGGGAUGCGUCUGAUUAGCUUGUUGGCGGGGUAACGGCCCACCAAGGCAACGAUCAGUAGGGGUUCUGAGAGGAAGGUCCCCCACAUUGGAACUGAGACACGGUCCAAACUCCUACGGGAGGCAGCAGUGAGGAAUAUUGGUCAAUGGGCGGAAGCCUGAACCAGCCAAGUAGCGUGCAGGAUGACGGCCCUAUGGGUUGUAAACUGCUUUUAUACAGGAAUAAAGUUAGCCACGUGUGGUUAUUUGUAGGUACUGUAUGAAUAAGGACCGGCUAAUUCCGUGCCAGCCGCCGCGGUAA